Molecule: unclassified non-coding RNA, 158 nt
Filed under: Humicola parvispora
Lineage: Eukaryota; Fungi; Ascomycota; Sordariomycetes; Sordariales; Chaetomiaceae
Description: partial internal transcribed spacer 2
Source: RNAcentral
GACCCCUCAAGCUCUGCUUGGUGAUGGGCGCCUUGUCGACCCCGCGGUUUCCGCAGGCGACUCGCCUCAAAUCUAUUGGCGGCUAGCAUUGCAGUUUCGAGCGCAGCAGAAACGCGAACUCGGGCCUGCGUGUGAGCUCCCAGCAAGCCACCCCCACA